This is a non-coding RNA of Paramuricea clavata, 210 nucleotides long. Lineage: Eukaryota; Metazoa; Cnidaria; Anthozoa; Malacalcyonacea; Plexauridae. The record is from the annotation of a GenBank genome assembly.
CCCCCCGAAUAUAAGUCCCUCAAAUAUAAGCCCAAUAGCCCACUAUGUUAUUCAACAUUGACAUUGUCUUUUAAUAUAGCAGAGAACGAUAUUUAAAAACAUUGUCAUUGUCUUUAUAGCUUACUAUGUUUAAUGCAUGUUUAUUUUCCUGUUUAUGACCGACUUGUUUAUGUCUUACUUGCUUAUUACUAACACAAAAGAUCGUCCAUG